Molecule: ribosomal RNA, 492 nt
Filed under: uncultured bacterium
Lineage: Bacteria
Description: partial 16S ribosomal RNA
Rfam family: Bacterial small subunit ribosomal RNA
Source: RNAcentral
AGUGAACGCUGGCGGCAGGCCUAACACAUGCAAGUCGAACGGCAGCACAGUAAGAGUUUGCUCUUACGGGUGGCGAGUGGCGGACGGGUGAGGAAUACAUCGGAAUCUACUUUUUCGUGGGGGAUAACGUAGGGAAACUUACGCUAAUACCGCAUAUGACCUACGGGUGAAAGCAGGGGAUCUUCGGACCUUGCGCGAUUGAAUGAGCCGAUGUCGGAUUAGCUAGUUGGCGGGGUAAAGGCCCACCAAGGCGACGAUCCGUAGCUGGUCUGAGAGGAUGAUCAGCCACACUGGAACUGAGACACGGUCCAGACUCCUACGGGAGGCAGCAGUGGGGAAUAUUGGACAAUGGGCGCAAGCCUGAUCCAGCCAUACCGCGUGGGUGAAGAAGGCCUUCGGGUUGUAAAGCCCUUUUGUUGGGAAAGAAAAGCAGCAGAUUAAUACCCCGCUGUUCUGACGGUACCCAAAGAAUAAGCACCGGCUAACUUCGUG